This 465-nucleotide ribosomal RNA is filed under the name Vreelandella stevensii. RNAcentral describes it as "partial 16S ribosomal RNA". It matches the Rfam family "Bacterial small subunit ribosomal RNA", at positions 338 to 795 of the family's 1533-position model. Lineage: Bacteria; Pseudomonadati; Pseudomonadota; Gammaproteobacteria; Oceanospirillales; Halomonadaceae. The record is from RNAcentral.
CCUACGGGUGGCUGCAGUGGGGAAUAUUGGACAAUGGGGGGAACCCUGAUCCAGCCAUGCCGCGUGUGUGAAGAAGGCCCUCGGGUUGUAAAGCACUUUCAGUGAGGAAGAACGCCUGGUGGUUAAUACCCAUCAGGAAAGACAUCACUCACAGAAGAAGCACCGGCUAACUCCGUGCCAGCAGCCGCGGUAAUACGGAGGGUGCGAGCGUUAAUCGGAAUUACUGGGCGUAAAGCGCGCGUAGGUGGCUUGAUAAGCCGGUUGUGAAAGCCCCGGGCUCAGCCUGGGAACGGCAUCCGGAACUGUCAAGCUAGAGUGCAGGAGAGGAAGGUAGAAUUCCCGGUGUAGCGGUGAAAUGCGUAGAGAUCGGGAGGAAUACCAGUGGCGAAGGCGGCCUUCUGGACUGACACUGACACUGAGGUGCGAAAGCGUGGGUAGCAAACAGGAUUAGAUACCCUUGUAGUC